RNAcentral lists this ribosomal RNA (468 nucleotides) under uncultured bacterium. RNAcentral's name for it is "partial 16S ribosomal RNA". It matches the Rfam family "Bacterial small subunit ribosomal RNA", at positions 28 to 507 of the family's 1533-position model. The record is from RNAcentral.
GACGAACGCUGGCGGCGUGCUUAACACAUGCAAGUCGAACGGGAAGGCCCUGCUUUUGUGGGGUGCUCGAGUGGCGAACGGGUGAGUAACACGUGAGUAACCUGCCCUUGACUUUGGGAUAACUUCAGGAAACUGGGGCUAAUACCGGAUAGGAGCUCCUGCUGCAUGGUGGGGGUUGGAAAGUUUCGGCGGUUGGGGGUGGACUCGCGGCUUAUCAGCUUGUUGGUGGGGUAGUGGCUUACCAAGGCUUUGACGGGUAGCCGGCCUGAGAGGGUGACCGGCCACAUUGGGACUGAGAUACGGCCCAGACUCCUACGGGAGGCAGCAGUGGGGAAUAUUGCACAAUGGGCGGAAGCCUGAUGCAGCAACGCCGCGUGCGGGAUGACGGCCUUCGGGUUGUAAACCGCUUUCGCCUGUGACGAAGCGUGAGUGACGGUAAUGGGUAAAGAAGCACCGGCUAACUACGUG